RNAcentral lists this ribosomal RNA (446 nucleotides) under uncultured bacterium. RNAcentral's name for it is "partial 16S ribosomal RNA". It matches the Rfam family "Bacterial small subunit ribosomal RNA", at positions 338 to 795 of the family's 1533-position model. The record is from RNAcentral.
CCUACGGGUGGCUGCAGUCGAGAAUCAUUCACAAUGGGGGAAACACUGAUGGUGCGAAGCAGCGUGGGGGAAUGAAGGUCUUCGGAUUGUAAACCCCUGUCAUGUGGGAGCAAAUUAAAAAGAUAGUACCACAAGAGGAAGAGACGGCUAACUCUGUGCCAGCAGCCGCGGGAAUACAGAGGUGUCAAGCGUUGUUCGCAAUCACUGGGCGUAAAGCGUGCGUAGGCUGUUUCGUAAGUCAUGUGUGAAAGGCGCGGGCUCAACCCGCGGACGGCACAUGAUACUGCGAGACUAGAGUAAUGGAGGGGGAACCGGAAUUCUCGGUGUAGCAGUGAAAUGCGUAGAUAUCGAGAGGAACACUCGUGGCGAAGGCGGGUUCCUGGACAUUAACUGACGCUGAGGCACGAAGGCCAGGGGAGCGAAAGGGAUUAGAUACCCGGGUAGUC